AGUGAACGCUGGCGGUAGGCCUAACACAUGCAAGUCGAACGGCAGCACCGUACGAGCUUGCUCUUACGGGUGGCGAGUGGCGGACGGGUGAGGAAUACAUCGGACUCUACUUUUUCGUGGGGGUUAACGUAGGGAAACUUACGCUAAUACCGCAUACGACCUACGGGUGAAAGCAGUGGAUCUUCGGACCUUGCGCGAUUGAAUGAGCCGAUGUCGGAUUAGCUAGUUGGCGGGGUAAAGGCCCACCCAGGCGACGAUCCGUAGCUGGUCUGAGAGGAUGGUCAGCCACACGGGAACGGGGACACGGUCCAGACUCCUGCGGGAGGCAGCAGUGGGGAAUAUUGGACAAUGGGCGCAAGCCUGAUCCAGCCAUACCGCGUGGGUGAAGAAGGCCUUCGGGUUGUAAAGCCCUUUUGUUGGGAAAGAAAAGCAGCAGGUUAAUACCCCGCUGUUCUGACGGUACCCAAAGAAGAAGCACCGGCUAACUUCGUG
This 492-nucleotide ribosomal RNA is filed under the name uncultured bacterium. Its description in RNAcentral is "partial 16S ribosomal RNA". It matches the Rfam family "Bacterial small subunit ribosomal RNA", at positions 29 to 507 of the family's 1533-position model. The record is from RNAcentral.